This 778-nucleotide ribosomal RNA is filed under the name Nocardia sp. RNAcentral's name for it is "bacterial SSU rRNA". It matches the Rfam family "Bacterial small subunit ribosomal RNA", at positions 67 to 860 of the family's 1533-position model. The record is from RNAcentral. Lineage: Bacteria; Bacillati; Actinomycetota; Actinomycetes; Mycobacteriales; Nocardiaceae.
CGGUAAGGCCCUUCGGGGUACACGAGCGGCGAACGGGUGAGUAACACGUGGGUGAUCUGCCUUGCACUCUGGGAUAAGCCUGGGAAACUGGGUCUAAUACCGGAUAGGACCAUGCCAUGCAUGUGGUGUGGUGGAAAGAUUUAUCGGUGUGAGAUGGGCCCGCGGCCUAUCAGCUUGUUGGUGGGGUAAUGGCCUACCAAGGCGACGACGGGUAGCCGGCCUGAGAGGGCGACCGGCCACACUGGGACUGAGACACGGCCCAGACUCCUACGGGAGGCAGCAGUGGGGAAUAUUGCACAAUGGGCGGAAGCCUGAUGCAGCGACGCCGCGUGAGGGAUGACGGCCUUCGGGUUGUAAACCUCUUUCGACUCCGACGAAGCGAAAGUGACGGUAGGGGUAGAAGAAGCACCGGCCAACUACGUGCCAGCAGCCGCGGUAAUACGUAGGGUGCGAGCGUUGUCCGGAAUUACUGGGCGUAAAGAGCUUGUAGGCGGUUUGUCGCGUCGUCCGUGAAAACUCAGGGCUCAACUCUGAGCUUGCGGGCGAUACGGGCAGACUUGAGUACUGCAGGGGAGACUGGAAUUCCUGGUGUAGCGGUGAAAUGCGCAGAUAUCAGGAGGAACACCGGUGGCGAAGGCGGGUCUCUGGGCAGUAACUGACGCUGAGAAGCGAAAGCGUGGGUAGCGAACAGGAUUAGAUACCCUGGUAGUCCACGCCGUAAACGGUGGGCGCUAGGUGUGGGUUUCCUUCCACGGGAUCCGUGCCGUAGCUAACGCAU